CAAGAUUUAGAGCAAUAAGGGAAAAACAAGACCACAUUCACACAAUGAGUUGGAGGGGCUAUGCUCGUUUGACUCACAUUAUGGAAAAGACAAGUCCGAUGGAUACAAAAAUUACGAGAUCGCAAGUUUGGAUUGAAGGUCACAAGAGAAAAAAUGGGGAGCCCAGUACUCAAGCCGUUGGAGAGAAAAUGAAAAAAAUAUUAGAAUGUCCACCCGAAUCUCAAAACACAACUAAUAUUGCUGAUGAUGCAAUUAGCAUUGUGUUUGGCAAUGAAGCUCGGGGUAGAGUGCGUGGAAUGGGCUUUGGAGUAACACCAUCG
This is a long non-coding RNA of Zingiber officinale, 320 nucleotides long. RefSeq lists it as uncharacterized. NCBI's taxonomy places the organism in Eukaryota, Viridiplantae, Streptophyta, Magnoliopsida, Zingiberales, Zingiberaceae. The transcript has 3 exons. The record is from RefSeq and is a predicted model, not a curated record.